CCGCACAAGCGGUGGAUUAUGUGGUUAAUUCGAUGCAACGCGAAGAACCUUACCUGGACUUGACAUGUUAGUGAAAACUCCGGUGAAAACCGGAGUCUCCGCGAGCUUGCUCAAGGACACUAUCCCAGGUGAUGCAUGGCUGUCGUCAGCUCGUGUCGUGAGAUGUUCGGUUAAGUCCGAUAACGAGCGCAACCCCUAUCCUUAGUUGCCAGCACGUAAUGGUGGGGACUCUAGGGAAACUGCCCGGGAUAACCGGAAGGAAGGUGGGGUCGACGUCAAGUCAGUAUGUCCCUUACGUUCAGGGCUACACACGUAAUACAAUGGGGAGUACAGAGGGUAGCAAAACUGCGAAGUAGAGCCAAUCCCAAAAAACUCCCCCAAGUUCGGAUUGCAGUCUGCAACUCGACUGCAUGAAGCAGGAAUCGCUAGUAAUCGCGCAUCAGCAUGGCGCGGUGAAUACGUUCCCGGGUCUUGUACACACCGCCCGUCACGCCAUGGAAGCCGGUAGCACCCAACGUCAGUGUCCUAACCUUCGGGAAGGAGCUGCUUAAGGUGAGAUUGGUAACUGGGGCGAAGUCGUAACAAGGUA
Molecule: ribosomal RNA, 589 nt
Filed under: uncultured marine bacterium
Lineage: Bacteria
Description: bacterial SSU rRNA
Rfam family: Bacterial small subunit ribosomal RNA
Source: RNAcentral